RNAcentral lists this ribosomal RNA (434 nucleotides) under uncultured bacterium. RNAcentral describes it as "partial 16S ribosomal RNA". It matches the Rfam family "Bacterial small subunit ribosomal RNA", at positions 29 to 507 of the family's 1533-position model. The record is from RNAcentral.
AGCGAACGCUGGCGGCAGGCCUAACACAUGCAAGUCGAACGAACCUUUCGGGGUUAGUGGCGGACGGGUGAGUAACACGUGGGAACGUUCCUUUAGGUUCGGAAUAACUCAGGGACACUUGUGCUAAUACCGAAUGUGCCCUUCGGGGGAAAGAUUUAUCGCCUUUAGAGCGGCCCGCGUCUGAUUAGCUAGUUGGUUGAGGUAAUGGCUCACCAAGGCGACGAUCAGUAGCUGGUCUGAGAGGAUGAUCAGCCACAUUGGGACUGAGACACGGCCCAAACUCCUACGGGAGGCAGGAGUGGGGAAUCUUGCGCAAUGGGCGAAAGCCUGACGCAGCCAUGCCGCGUGAAUGAUGAAGGUCUUAGGAUUGUAAAAUUCUUUCACCGGGGACGAUAAUGACGGUACCCGGAGAAGAAGCCCCGGCUAACUUCGUG